This is a long non-coding RNA of Haliotis rubra (blacklip abalone), 183 nucleotides long. RefSeq lists it as uncharacterized. The record is from RefSeq and is a predicted model, not a curated record. The transcript is spliced from 3 exons. NCBI's taxonomy places the organism in Eukaryota, Metazoa, Mollusca, Gastropoda, Lepetellida, Haliotidae.
GGAGUGCUAGGCAAUAGCGGAGACGACGACACCGCAAAUCACCUGGAGACAGGUUCCACCAGCUAUGCGACCCUUGACAUGAACGAUGGUCGAAACCAACACCAUGAUACUAGUGGAUAAUGAUAUAUAUGAACGUUCAAGUGACGUGACGCCAAUUUCCGUAAAGCCUCCUGAAAAUGUUCC